AUACGGAGGAUGCAAGCGUUAUCCGGAUUUAUUGGGUUUAAAGGGUGCGUAGGCGGAUGAUUAAGCGUGAGGUGAAAUGCCACUGCUCAACAGUGGAACUGCUUCGCGAACUGGUUGUCUUGAAUGCUCCUGCCGUGGGAGGAAUGUGUGGUGUAGCGGUGAAAUGCAUAGAGAUCACACAGAACACCGAUUGCGAAGGCAUCUCACGAAGGGGUGAUUGACGCUGAGGCACGAAAGCGUGGGGAUCAAACAGGAUUAGAUACCCUGGUAGUCCACGCAGUAAACGAUGAUAACUAACCGCUGGGUCGUAGUGAUUCAGUGGCCAAGCGAAAGCGAUAAGUUAUCCACCUGGGGAGUACGACCGCAAGGUUGAAACUCAAAUGAAUUGACGGGG
RNAcentral lists this ribosomal RNA (394 nucleotides) under uncultured bacterium. Its description in RNAcentral is "partial 16S ribosomal RNA". It matches the Rfam family "Bacterial small subunit ribosomal RNA", at positions 523 to 918 of the family's 1533-position model. The record is from RNAcentral.